CACACAUUUGUGUCACUUCUUGAAACCAAAACUGCUCCAAUCACGCUUUUCACAAACUGGCACAAAAGUGAAGAUGUGUGUCAGUUCGUGGUGCAGAUGACGAUAUGCACCCAAUACCCAAAUUCCGAUGAAAAUUUUAAUGCCUUCAUUUGAUUUUGGCUUAUUUUUUCUUUUUUUGAAGUGUAAAAUGAACUCUAUUUAAAAUGAAAUGAAUAUCUCUUGCCCUUUUUCACAGAAAACUACACGUGCAAAGAAAAUAAAGGCUGUGAAGGUUGUGGUCCAGGAGAAAAUGCAACUAAGGCAAAGAAGAAAAAGGCUGCAAGAGUUGUUUGCAGAGGGGCGGGACCAUUGAAACCACUCUGCAGCAUAACAAAUAUGGUAUGGAAUCUAGGUGCACCAAGUCUAGACGAGGAAAUCCCCAUGGAAGUGGAACCCCAAGACCACAAGGAACCUCAAGACCACCCGGAACCACAGACCAGCAGGAACCCACAGACCCGCAGGAAUCCACAGACCAUCAGGAACCCGCCAACCUGCAAGGACCUGUACGUUUUUUACUUGCAUGUAGCUUGAUUGUAAGUCAUGCCCCUGCUUGAAGACUGUGGAGGAGGUAACAAAACUGGCCCUUGGCAACAGGAAGUUGCUAGAGGAAAACAACAGGCUUCUUCAGCUCCUCCUGAAGGAAAAAAGUAGUGGCACUACUAGUAUCCAGAGUAUGAGUUCAGACUACGUACAAAUCCAGACUAUACCGACCAUUGAGGGUAUUCAGGCAGGUAAUGAUGAGUCAUUAAUUUCACCAGAAAAAAUCAUGUAAAUCUUCAACAAGCAAUCCUCAAUUCCUAAUUGUGCAUUAAUUUUGAUAAGGAAACUGUUUACUGAGUCAGAGAUGGUGAGAUCCAACUGUAGGGGGGUCAGGGGGAAGGAUGCGUUAGAUCCUCCUAGAUUGACAUUUGUCAAGGAUAUCGUGGAGAAGUACGUUUUGAUACCCAAGCAGGAGUAUGAGGUUUAUUGGAACAAAAAGUGUGUAACUGCUCUUGACGAAAGAUGCAGAAGGCUGUGCAGGAAGCCCAAAGGAGACAUUUAAAAAGAUCCAGUGAAGAGGGGGUACAAAAAAAUUCUGGCUUGCAAAUUAGAGUAAAAACCAAAGAAACAUGCUCAGUGUCUGGAUUUAUGAAAAAAGGGGGCAGGAGGGGCUUUUUUUUUCAAGAUGGCCGGCAUUACUUUUACAAAAUCACACUGUGGAUUUUCCAUUGUUAAAAUGAGAGACAUCAAGCACGGUGAAAAAAAAAGUGUUUAGUCUUUUUUAAUAUUUUAGGGGCUGUACAUGUAUG
Long non-coding RNA from Acanthaster planci (crown-of-thorns starfish), 1328 nucleotides. RefSeq lists it as uncharacterized. Lineage: Eukaryota; Metazoa; Echinodermata; Asteroidea; Valvatida; Acanthasteridae. The record is from RefSeq and is a predicted model, not a curated record.